UUCCGGUUGAUCCUGCCGGACCCCACUGCUAUCGGGAUGGGACUAAGACAUGCUAGUCGUGCGCCUCCUAGCCACGCUGGAGGCGCGGCACACAGCUCAGUAGCACGUGGCUAACCUGCCCUUGGGACGGGAACAUCCCCGGGAAACUGGGGUUAAUUCUCGAUAGGUGAAGAUUCCUGGAAUGGGUUUUCGCCCAAAAGACGCUUAGGUCAUGCUUCUAGACGUUGCCCAAGGAUGGGGCCGCGGCCGAUCAGGCUGUUGGUGAGGUAAUGGCUCACCAAACCUUUGACCGGUUCGGGCCGUGGGAGCGGUAGCCCGGAGAUGGGCACUGAGACAAGGGCCCAGGCCCUACGGGGCGCAGCAGUCGCGAAAACUUCGCAAUAAGCGAAAGCUUGACGGGGCCAUCCCGAGUGCCAUCUGCUGAGGAUGGCUUUUACCCAGUAUAGAUAGCUGGGGGAAUAAGGAGAGGGCAAGUCUGGUGUCAGCCGCCGCGGUAAUACCAGCUCUCCGAGUUGUGGGGACGUUUAUUGAGCCUGAAGCAUCCGUAGCCGGCUGUGCAAGUCCUCUGUUAAAUCCAGCGAAUAAUCGUUGGCCUGCGGGGGAUACUGCUCGGCUUGGGGGCGGGAGAGGCCGUCGGUAUUCUUGGGGUAGGGGUGAAAUCCUAUAAUCCCAGGAGGACCACCAGUGGCGAAGGCUGUCGGCUAGAACGCGCUCGACGGUGAGGGAUGAAAGCUGGGGGAGCGAACCGGAUUAGAUACCCGGGUAGUCCCAGCUGUAAACGAUGCAGGCUAGGUGUUAGGGCGGCUACGUGCCGCUCUAGUGCCGCAGGGAAGCUGUUAAGCCUGCCGCUUGGGGAGUACGGCCGCAAGGCUGAAACUUAAAGGAAUUGGCGGGGAGCACCACAAGG
Molecule: ribosomal RNA, 907 nt
Filed under: uncultured archaeon
Lineage: Archaea
Description: bacterial SSU rRNA
Rfam family: Archaeal small subunit ribosomal RNA
Source: RNAcentral